CAUCCUAUAAAUACGUUGGCGGCACGUCGCGAGGUCCUUUCAUCAGCGCACCCUCUGUCAGUCGGAGUCAUGGCUGUGUUAGCGGGCCUAGCUGAAGAACACGGAGGAAAUGUGAUCUCAUUGCUGAAUGAGUUGGGAUAGAGUUAUCCUACAGUUUGUGCUUCCCCUCUGACUUGAGGUGCUGAGGACCUCAGGCAAGCUGGGUUUCCUCACUGCCCUUGCCUUCAGCACUGAUGCAGCACCAUGUCACUGAUGGCAGAAGAAUGAGCCUGAUGAACUGGUGACAGCCGUUUCUGCUGCAGCAGAGGAUGGCCUCCUCCUCCCAGGCUCCAGCAGGGAUUGACAUCAGAGAAUCCUCAAACAAUCCUGGAGAAGAGAGGAGUGUCAGCCUUUCACUCUAAGUAAUUGAUGCCAAGUCAUCGUUGAGCAGCUGGAUGCACCGUCGGAACUUUGAUCUGCUGUCACUCACUUUUGGAGUAAAAUUUAACUGCUUUGCAAAUGACAACUUUAUAAAGGCAGCAAUGUUUGUGCACAGCAUCAGAUUUAGCCUUUUUCCUUGGUCUACUGUGUUAUCAAUAACGCAUAAAAUAUCAAUAAAUCCAAUAACACCAAACUCUC
Sander lucioperca (pikeperch) is the source of this 618-nucleotide long non-coding RNA. RefSeq lists it as uncharacterized. The transcript is spliced from 8 exons. The record is from RefSeq and is a predicted model, not a curated record. NCBI's taxonomy places the organism in Eukaryota, Metazoa, Chordata, Actinopteri, Perciformes, Percidae.